Molecule: ribosomal RNA, 497 nt
Filed under: uncultured bacterium
Lineage: Bacteria
Description: partial 16S ribosomal RNA
Rfam family: Bacterial small subunit ribosomal RNA
Source: RNAcentral
GAUGAACGCUGGCGGCGUGCCUAAUACAUGCAAGUCGAGCGAACAGAUAAGGAGCUUGCUCCUUUGACGUUAGCGGCGGACGGGUGAGUAACACGUGGGUAACCUAUCUAUAAGACUGGAAUAACUCCGGGAAACCGGGGCUAAUGCCGGAUAACAUGUUGAACCGCAUGGUUCUACAGUGAAAGGCGGCUUUGCUGUCACUUAUAGAUGGACCCGCGCCGUAUUAGCUAGUUGGUGAGGUAACGGCUCACCAAGGCAACGAUACGUAGCCGACCUGAGAGGGUGAUCGGCCACACUGGAACUGAGACACGGUCCAGACUCCUACGGGAGGCAGCAGUAGGGAAUCUUCCGCAAUGGGCGAGAGCCUGACGGAGCAACGCCGCGUGAGUGAUGAAGGUCUUCGGAUCGUAAAACUCUGUUAUUAGGGAAGAACAAAUGCGUAAGUAACUGUGCGCGUCUUGACGGUACCUAAUCAGAAAGCCACGGCUAACUACGUG